GACGAACGCUGGCGGCGUGCUUAACACAUGCAAGUCGAGCGGUAAGGCCCCUUCGGGGGUACACGAGCGGCGAACGGGUGAGUAACACGUGAGCAAUCUGCCCAUCACAUCGGGAUAACUCCGGGAAACCGAAGCUAAUACCGAAUACGACCACCUCCGGCAUCGGAUGGUGGUGGAAAGUUCCGGCGGUGAUGGAUGAGCUCGCGGCCUAUCAGCUUGUUGGUGGGGUAACGGCCCACCAAGGCUUCGACGGGUAGCCGGCCUGAGAGGGUGACCGGCCACACUGGGACUGAGACACGGCCCAGACUCCACGGGAGGCAGCAGUGGGGAAUAUUGGACAAUGGGCGAAAGCCUGAUCCAGCAACGCCGCGUGAGGGAUGACGGCCUUCGGGUUGUAAACCUCUUUCAGCAGGGACGAAGCGCAAGUGACGGUACCUGCAGAAGAAGCACCGGCCAACUACGUG
RNAcentral lists this ribosomal RNA (464 nucleotides) under uncultured bacterium. RNAcentral's name for it is "partial 16S ribosomal RNA". It matches the Rfam family "Bacterial small subunit ribosomal RNA", at positions 28 to 507 of the family's 1533-position model. The record is from RNAcentral.